GGCACCGUAGUUAAGUGUUUGGCUGCAAACCAAAAGGUUGGUGGUUCGAAUCCAUUAGCUGCUU
Loxodonta africana (African savanna elephant) is the source of this 64-nucleotide transfer RNA. It matches the Rfam family "tRNA". Rfam says of the family: Transfer RNA (tRNA) molecules are approximately 80 nucleotides in length. Their secondary structure includes four short double-helical elements and three loops (D, anti-codon, and T loops). Further hydrogen bonds mediate the characteristic L-shaped molecular structure. tRNAs have two regions of fundamental functional importance: the anti-codon, which is responsible for specific mRNA codon recognition, and the 3' end, to which the tRNAs corresponding amino acid is attached (by aminoacyl-tRNA synthetases). tRNAs cope with the degeneracy of the genetic code in two manners: having more than one tRNA (with a specific anti-codon) for a particular amino acid; and 'wobble' base-pairing, i.e. permitting non-standard base-pairing at the 3rd anti-codon position. Lineage: Eukaryota; Metazoa; Chordata; Mammalia; Proboscidea; Elephantidae. The record is from Rfam.